CUCGACUCCUCCGUCGCUGCGUCUCCUCCUCCCUCCGGCCGUGGGCGCCUCCGUGCUCCGUCCACGGAAGGACAGGCCCCGCCCCGACUCCCUCGGCGAAGAAGCCCCCGCGGCCGGCCGAUCUCCGUGGACUCCGCAGGAGCGGCCCCGCCCCUCACACUAUGCCGGGCGGUUCCCUCUGAGCCCCGCCGGGACAGCGUCUACGCUGCACACACCACAGAGAAGCCAGAGAACGGUGCCUGCACCGGACACAGCACAACACCAGCACAGGACAGCGUCCACACCACACACACCACAAGUGAGCCUAGGGAGCUGUGUCUACACUGCAGACGUCGGCCUGAGCACACACGUCUUCGUGCAGGCCCAGCAGAGGGGGAAAAACACCUCCCCGAGGGUGGAAGAGUUGUGGCCAGCAGACAGAUGGACGGACAGACGGACACAGGCGAACAGGCAGCCCAGGGGUGAGCUGAGCCGGUCAAAUGGGCCAGGACCCGGCUCCGUGUGUCCUUCACAGUCAGGAUGACAGAACCCCAUGGAAUAUGAAAAAUGCCGGGAGACAGACCCCGGAGGCACAGCCCCUCACCGGGCAGGGAGGCCGCCAGAGGGAAGCGCAGCUCCAGGUUGUCAGCCGGGUCCCCUCUCGGCUCCUGAAGGCUGCCGGCAUCUUCCUCUCAAGGGCCCUUCCCAUCUUCCAACCGGAAACAGCAUGGCCGGUUCUCCUGGCUCUGAGGCGCUAGUGAGUAGGCGAGGCCACCCCGAUGACCCCCCUUUUGAGUUAAACUGAG
RNAcentral lists this long non-coding RNA (785 nucleotides) under Pan troglodytes (chimpanzee). RNAcentral's name for it is "long non-coding RNA NONPTRT004181". Lineage: Eukaryota; Metazoa; Chordata; Mammalia; Primates; Hominidae. The record is from RNAcentral.